AUUGAACGCUGGCGGCAUGCUUUACACAUGCAAGUCGAACGGUAACAGGCCGCAAGGUGCUGACGAGUGGCGGACGGGUGAGUAAUGCAUCGGAACGUGCCCAGUCGUGGGGGAUAACUACUCGACAGAGUAGCUAAUACCGCAUACGAUCUAUGGAUGAAAGCGGGGGACCGUAAGGCCUCGCGCGAUUGGAUCGGCCGAUGUCGGAUUAGGUAGUUGGUGGGGUAAAGGCUCACCAAGCCAACGAUCUGUAGCUGGUCUGAGAGGACAACCAGCCACACUGGGACUGAGACACGGCCCAGACUCCUACGGGAGGCAGCAGUGGGGAAUGUUGGACAAUGGGCGCAAGCCUGAUCCAGCAAUGCCGCGUGCAGGAAGAAGGCCUUCGGGUUGUAAACUGCUUUUGUACGGAACGAAACGGCUCUGGUUAAUACCCGGGGCUAAUGACGGUACCGUAAGAAUAAGCACCGGCUAACUACGUG
This 482-nucleotide ribosomal RNA is filed under the name uncultured bacterium. RNAcentral describes it as "partial 16S ribosomal RNA". It matches the Rfam family "Bacterial small subunit ribosomal RNA", at positions 30 to 507 of the family's 1533-position model. The record is from RNAcentral.